Long non-coding RNA from Zeugodacus cucurbitae (melon fly), 1283 nucleotides. RefSeq lists it as uncharacterized. The record is from RefSeq and is a predicted model, not a curated record. The transcript is spliced from 3 exons. NCBI's taxonomy places the organism in Eukaryota, Metazoa, Arthropoda, Insecta, Diptera, Tephritidae.
CACACAUGUAUGAUGCAUUUCUGAUCAUAAUUUGCCCUUCAAACGAACACUAUAAAAGUAAUUUUGAAUUGUGGACAAAAACAUGCGCCAACAGAUUACAAGCCUCACAGUUCCGGCACUAUAAUGAGAUAUGUUAACAAUCCACUUUAUGAGCCAAUUAACAACUUUAAACACUUAUUGCCCACACACGCUAAAUGACUUUGACGCUAAAAAGGCUAUAAAUGGCGAUGUGACAAACGCACGGACACCAGUCUAACAACCGGCAGCUAUUAACAAACCAUCAAGAAGUCAUCAACGUCAUCAUGUACUAUUUCAAUAGCAAUGGAAAUCGACAACGUCGUAACCAUCAUGAAUAUCAACAACAAAAAAACUAUAAGAUAGGAAGCUACAGUAAUGGCUGUAACAGGUCAUAAAAUUACAUAACAACAUCAUCUUAUGGCAACAAUUGCAAUGAAGAUGAAAAGCAACAAGAACGCUGAAUCCUUGGUAUAGAAAAUGCAUACGUCACGGAAGCUAAAUGCCAUAUAUUUUAUAUGGCAAUUUUUAUACGAAUUCAACAUUGCACUGUAGUACUGGUGAUGAUCGUAAAAAGGUCGUAAAAUCUAUGAAAUGGGACCGACCUCACAAAACACACACACAUUCACGUAAAGUAAUAAACACAACUACGAAGCCGACAGAGAGCAGAAGGCAAAAAAUUUUGUUGCCAGUGAUUUGCUGCUGUGGUGUACAUUUUACUCACUCAUGGUUCGAGGACAUAAAACGAUCUCUACUCAAUCAAUAUAAACUCUCAACUUCGCCAAUGAGUGCGACGAAGUUGUUUCAUUAUGAGUGCGUGUAAGUGAUGAGAAGCAGAGGAGAGUGGUUGUAAUGUUUGAUCAGCGUCUGUGGAAGAAAACAAUUUCAGUUUGAGCGGAUUUGUUGGCUUGGUGGAAAUGAGGGAGAUGCGACCUGUUGGCAUUUACUGAUUUUGUGGUUUAACGCUAAGUGGCGUUAAGUCGUAAAAAUGCUAUAAAAUUCAGAUAUACUUCUGUCUAUGGCGUUUACCAAGUAUUGCUGGGAUUGUAAGCACUUGUAGUCAGAUUAAUUGUUUGUUGACAUAAAAUAGUCAUAAAUUCUAAGCGCCUUUUAUGUAUAAUAACCUUAAAAUUCAUGUAUCAAUAUGUAGCAAUCAGUGCUUCACUAGUUGCAUUAGUAGCUCGCAUGUGACAUUUUUAUGUAUUUUAAAGGUGCUAAUUAUUAAAUAAAUUUUAUAGACGAGCAAACUCAUGUCAUUAUUAUUGUUU